Molecule: transfer RNA, 72 nt
Filed under: Ovis aries (sheep)
Lineage: Eukaryota; Metazoa; Chordata; Mammalia; Artiodactyla; Bovidae
Rfam family: tRNA
About the family: Transfer RNA (tRNA) molecules are approximately 80 nucleotides in length. Their secondary structure includes four short double-helical elements and three loops (D, anti-codon, and T loops).
Source: Rfam by way of RNAcentral
UCCCUGGUGGCUCAGAGACUAAAGCGCCUGCCUGCAAUGCGGAAGACCCGGGUUCGAUCCCUGGGUUGGGAA